RNAcentral lists this long non-coding RNA (696 nucleotides) under Homo sapiens (human). RNAcentral's name for it is "non-protein coding lnc-STX6-6:1". Lineage: Eukaryota; Metazoa; Chordata; Mammalia; Primates; Hominidae. The record is from RNAcentral.
GAGAUUCAGCUUUGCUUUCACUUUCCCAAGGACUCAUGGCCUCCCUAGGGCCCUGGCCAAAGGGGAGACCUGAACUUAGAGAUCAAGGCUAAGAGUCCUUAAGGACCUAAUGUGCCUAAGGAAAAGCAAUAGUAAACUCUUCCAUUAGUUUUAUGUUGACCCUUCUAUAGAAAAUUAUCUUUGUUUUUGGACCUAGCUAGGGUCUCCUAAGGGGUUAGUUUAUUAAAGCCCUAACCAUUUGUAAGUAAGUGAUAAUGUGCUUUAAUUAGAAGAUAUGAAUUGCACACCUAUGACUUUUUCUAGCAAGGUCCUACCCCUAAUCAAUGUUUUCGCAGAAUCUCUGUCUCCAGAGGCACAGAGUCAUACUUAAAUGAAUACAUGAUCAUCCCUCACCAUAGAAAUGCAGAUAAGGACCUUAACUAAUGAAGGGGCUAAUAUCUGUCUCCUUUUGGGAACAUUUGUACAAGCUCUUACCAGUUAUAGUCAGAUAGGAGGAUUUAUUUGUCUACUGUUUUCUUUAUGGGUACAAUAUGCGUAUUUGUGUAUAUCAUAUAUCCUUACUCUGACUUUUAUUAGAAGGGGGAGAUAAGGCAAAGAGGCACUUUUGGAUUUCUCCAUCUGAGCAGCUCUGUGAUUCAUUAUCUGUUCUAGAAAGCAGCACACGCAGUUCCAGCAAAAAAAAAAAAAAAAAAAAAA